AAUUUUAUUAGUAUAUUUAUUAUAUUUAGCUUCCAACUAAAAGAUCUAAGGAUAAAAU
Molecule: transfer RNA, 58 nt
Filed under: Trioza anthrisci
Lineage: Eukaryota; Metazoa; Arthropoda; Insecta; Hemiptera; Triozidae
Description: tRNA-Gly
Source: RNAcentral